AUCGACAUUUCGAACGCACAUUGCGGUCCUCGGAUACUGUUCCUGGACCACUCCUGGCUGAGGGUCGCAUCCAUCAGACUGCCGGCGUUUUUUCUUUCCCCUUUCUAAGAGGAAAGCUAUAAGCGUCGCGCGCAAUUGAGAGCUCGCUCUGGUUCCCGCACGGGUCCUCUUGCGUCUCUUUAAAUCAAAGAACGGUCGUUUCCGAGCUUCGGCUGCAGGUACGACUUUACGAGCGUCGGCGCUUUGCGCCCGUACGGUUCCGCGUUUAGCGCGAGGCCGCCCGGCUGACGUGUCCUAGACUACUUGACUAGAACCGACGUCUGGCUGUGAUGCCGGCCCGCGUGCGGAACACUUUCAACGUGCGGACGCAUGCUCGAAACAGUGCCACGCGACAAAAUAAUUUGCUCAUGCGACCUCAGAGCAGGUGAGAC
RNAcentral lists this unclassified non-coding RNA (431 nucleotides) under Enochrus coarctatus. RNAcentral's name for it is "sequence contains ITS2". The record is from RNAcentral. Lineage: Eukaryota; Metazoa; Arthropoda; Insecta; Coleoptera; Hydrophilidae.